RNAcentral lists this microRNA (21 nucleotides) under Lotus japonicus. RNAcentral's name for it is "lja-miR11119-5p". Lineage: Eukaryota; Viridiplantae; Streptophyta; Magnoliopsida; Fabales; Fabaceae. The record is from miRBase by way of RNAcentral.
UUCGUAUCGUGACCUGUAUCG